AGUCCUCAACCAUCUUGGGCGUCUUCCCCCGAUUCCUUGACAUACCAGGCUUGAUCGACCAAGACUUCACAAUGCUGUUUGGAGAGGAUGCAUCUGGCAAGUUCCUGGCGAAAUGGCCUCCUUUGUUCAGACCAGGGUCAUCGCAGACUGCAUGAACCUACCCCCCAGUGCCCAUUUGGAAGCCCUCCUCUCUUCUGCGCAGCACGACUCUGAUGAUUUGGACUAGGAUGGGACAGUGACUUGGCAGCCAUUCUGUUGAUGCUGCAUCUGCUACCCCCGACCUCAAAAGACAAGAGGGCUGCAAAGAUCGCUGUCUCUCAAGCUGCUGACCAUCUGGUGAAAUAUAUGAAGGUAUGUUCUCUUAUUUUGGUUGUGCUUUUCUGUGCCACUCUCCUUUUAUCUAGCACAGUGCCUCCUUGCCAUACACACAGCCCCUGCAAGCCCCUCUCCCACCCCUUGCUUUCUGACAGUUUCACCAAGGUGAUUGGAGGUGCAUUGCAGACAGCAGCUGUAUCGUAACCAAUCAGCAUGUUUGCUCAAUCUGAGUGCAAUAAUGGAGGCUACUUUGUCUUUGCGUUGUGUGACAGAAAUGAAUGGCUGUGGUUUCCCCUAUGUUCUUUCUUUCAGGUGGGGACGAGCUUGGUGACCUUCCUUGCGCAAGUUGGACGUGAACAGCCCUUCCUCCUCUGUGUCGGCGAACAAAAGAAGAUCAUCCAGAAAUUCUACAUCAUCGUUGACCAGAAGGCCGUUCCGUGCAAGACCCAAACAUCAGUGGCAGCUUUCGAUGAGCUCUUCAAGGCACACUACGUCUUCGGCGUGUCCUAUGACAAAGCUUUGGGUAGUUUCUACACGUUCAUUCAAACCACAGUGUAUAAUAUUGAUGUAGGGAAUGCAAAGGAGAGCCCAAGGGUCAAGGAGAUUAGAGCAAGGCUGCUUAACAGAGACACUUGAAUUGAUACACAUCUUUGGGCUUAAAGAUGUUUACUUGUUUCAUUUGUAAAGUACACCACAGAAGUUGUGCAUUGCUUUGUCAACAUUUUAAGUUCCAUCAGGAAGGACAUUGCGUUUGAAAUGCGGAGAUCCUGAGUGUUCCUCCGUUUUUGGCACUUAUUCUGGCUUUAAGAAGCACUUGGUUCGUGUACAUGGUGACUGUGUUACUCCAAAUACCAUUGACAAUGUUGAGACUUUGAGCAAUAAUGAUGUUGAACCUUCAUGUUGUCAGUCAUUCGGUACAGACUCUCCUACUACUCAGGUUCCUAUUGAGAGGAGGCAAUUGCUGGACAUGUGUGGGUCUGUUGGAGCUCAGUUACAGGCAUCGGGGGUUGCUGAAAGUACUGUUCAAUCUAUGGUUGGUUCAAUGGAAGAACUUGUGAAUGACAUCCAUGCUCAAGCAAGGGAAGCUGUACUAAAAAGUAUUUCAUCAGAGACUCAAGGUCAAGACCUAGGUGAAAAAGCUGGGGAUUGUUUUGAUCAGCUUGAAAAUCCUUUCUCAGUCUUGAACACAGGAGCCAAGCGGCAGAGGUAUUUUGAGGAAAAAUGGGAAAUAGCUGAGCCUGUAGAGCAUGUUCUUGGAGUGCGGUUUGAUGUACGCUGAGAUGGAACACCUGGUGUGUUCAGUCAAGCUCCAGUAAAUGAUACGUUUAUUGAUGUACCUAUCUUAGGAACUCUGAAGUCUAUGUUUAAGAACAGUGAAGUGUGUAAAAGUUUCCAGCAGGUAAGAGAACAUCAAGAAGGUACUUACAAAGACAUUAAUGAUGGUUCAUACUUCAGAAAUCAUUGUCUAUUUUCACAACAAGAAUAUGCUCUACAGAUUCAGCUGUACUAUGACGAUUUUGAAACUGCCAAUCCUUUAGGCUCAAAAAAGAGAAUACAUAAACUUGGCUGUGUUUAUUUUAUUUUAAGAAACCUACCACCAAAAUUGAACUCUGUGUUGAUGAAUAUUCAUCUUGUUGCUCUCUUUCACUCAGAGGACUUAAAGAAAUAUGGAUUUGAUGAAAUCCUAAAGCCACUUGUAAAUGAUUUCAAAGUUUUGAAAACCGAAGGAAUUCAAAUCUCCUUUUCAGACACAGUGAAUAUUGUGUUCUCACCAAUUGUAACAAAUGGUAUGACAUAUUAUUUGAAGCAUUUGAAUUGUUUUCACCACAAACUGUUUAAGUCUGUUUCCAGAUAGAAACUUGAUUCCCAAACACCACUUCAUGAUACAUUAUCCGAGGUGUGUUUGCAGAAUCAGUCCACUUCUACACACAUGGUGCAUGAGAUUUGAAGGGAAACACAACUUCUUCAAAAGGUCUGUUAAGAAUUUUAAGAACAUCACUAAGACUUUAGCAAAGAAACAUCAGCAUCAUUUGGCUUUUCAUUGGGAGAGUUUUUAUUUUCAACGGUUUCAGUUUGGUCCCAUUAAAAUGGAAAUGAUCAACAGUUUGGAGGGUAGUGAUAUUUUAACUGAAAUAUUGCGUUGAAGUUUAUACUCUGAUGUUUCCACAACUAGUUGGGUGAAGAACUAUGGAAGCGAGUAUCACAUUGGUAUGUUUGUUUGCUCAGGUACAGAAAGUGAAAUGCCUGUAUUCAAGAAGAUCAUUAAUGUGAUUGUAGAAGAUGACCAAGCUUUUCUUUUGACCUCGAAUGUUGCUACGUUGUGUUUUGAUGAUCACUUAAAUGCAUUCAGCAUUGAAGAAAUAAGUGAUGCAUUUACUGUGAUAUGUGUAGAAGACCUGGUUUACCAUAGACCUCAUGACAGACAGUUUUCGUAUGACACGGAUGAUGAGAGAACAUGCAUUGUCCCAUACUGUCACAUUGUAUGACUCGCAUUUUGUUUUUGAUGUGUGUAGAAGUGCUGCUUUACCAUCGGCCGUACAUCAGACUGUUUUUGUAUCAUACUGAUAGAGAGCACAUUGUCACAAGUUGUGUCAUGUUUACCUGUUCAAUGUGAGUCAGGGUAAUGUCACGUGUUGAAUGUGGUGUACAUGUUGAGAUUAAAAGAAAUAACAGCAGUUUCUGUGCUGUGUUUAUUUUAGUUGUAAGUACACUAAGG
Long non-coding RNA from Acipenser ruthenus (sterlet), 3031 nucleotides. RefSeq lists it as uncharacterized. NCBI's taxonomy places the organism in Eukaryota, Metazoa, Chordata, Actinopteri, Acipenseriformes, Acipenseridae. The record is from RefSeq and is a predicted model, not a curated record. The transcript is spliced from 3 exons.